ACCGUGUAGCCCAGUUGGUAGAGCGUCGAUCUAGUAAUUCGAAGGUCGCGGGUUCAAGACCCGGCAGCGGUA
Molecule: non-coding RNA, 72 nt
Organism: Paramuricea clavata
Lineage: Eukaryota; Metazoa; Cnidaria; Anthozoa; Malacalcyonacea; Plexauridae
Source: the annotation of a GenBank genome assembly